AUGAUUGGCCUCAGGGCCUUAUCGAUUAUCAAUCCCAACACCUCUGUGAACCGUUUUCGGCCCUCGGGCUGAUCUUUUUACAGUACAAACAUUGUGUAAUGAGCGUCUUGUUAUCUUAACAAAACAAACCUUUCAACAACGGAUCUCUUGGCUCUCGCAUCGAUGAAGAACGCAGCGAAAUGCGAUAAGUAAUGUGAAUUGCAGAAUUCAGUGAAUCAUCGAAUCUUUGAACGCACCUUGCGCCUUUUGGUAUUCCAAAAGGCAUGCCUGUUUGAGUGUCAUGAAAUAUCAAUCCCCUCGGGUUUCUGAUCUGGGGUGGACUUGGACUUGGGUGUCUGCCGGUCACUCGGCUGGCUCACCUCAAAAGACUUAGUGGGAUUAGCAUCCACGGCCCGACGUAAUAAGUUUCGUCUGGCCAGGUGCAAGGCCUGCUCAUAACCCCUUGCCCACCUGGGCGUUAACACUUUUGGACUCUGACCUCGAAUCAGGUAGGGCUACCCGCUGAACUUAAGCAUAUCAAUAAGCGGAGGAAUCGUACGCUUGGUCAUUUAGAGGAAGUAAAAGUCGUAACAAGGUUUCCGUAGGUGAACCUGCGGAAGGAUCAUUAUCAAAAGUCAGUCGGGAGCCCCAGUGGCUGCCGUCUACACCCAAGUCUUUUGUGUACUCAUUGUCUCCUCGGCGGCGUAAGUCGCCGAAUGGACAAACUAAAACCUUUUUGUAAUUGCAAUCAGCGUCAUUAAAUAUAAUAAUAUUUA
This 755-nucleotide unclassified non-coding RNA is filed under the name soil metagenome. RNAcentral's name for it is "partial contains internal transcribed spacer 1, 5.8S ribosomal RNA, internal transcribed spacer 2, and large subunit ribosomal RNA". The stretch from base 128 to 281 matches the Rfam family "5.8S ribosomal RNA". The record is from RNAcentral.